UAGGGAAUAUUGGACAAUGGGGGCAACCCUGAUCCAGCCAUGCCGCGUGAGUGAAGAAGGCCCUCGGGUUGUAAAGCUCUUUUGUCCGGAAAGAAAAGCAUUCGGUGAAUACCCGGAUGUUCUGACGGUACCGGAAGAAUAAGCACCGGCUAACUUCGUGCCAGCAGCCGCGGUAAUACGAAGGGUGCAAGCGUUACUCGGAAUUACUGGGCGUAAAGCGUGCGUAGGUGGUUGUUUAAGUCUGAUGUGAAAGCCCUGGGCUCAACCUGGGAAUGGCAUUGGAAACUGGGCAGCUAGAGUGCGGUAGAGGGUAGUGGAAUUCCCGGUGUAGCAGUGAAAUGCGAAGAGAUCGGGAGGAACAUCUGUGGCGAAGGCGACUGCCUGGACCAGCACUGACACUGAGGCACGAAAGCGUGGGGAGCAAACA
RNAcentral lists this ribosomal RNA (427 nucleotides) under uncultured bacterium. Its description in RNAcentral is "bacterial SSU rRNA". It matches the Rfam family "Bacterial small subunit ribosomal RNA", at positions 355 to 774 of the family's 1533-position model. The record is from RNAcentral.